CGGUAUAUUGACCGUGCGAAGGUAGCAUAAUAAUUUGUCUUUUAAUUGAGGACUAGUAUAAAUGGUCGAACAAAAAGUUAGCUGUCUCUGAGUCAUAUCUUGAAUUUAACAUUUAAGUGAAAAGGCUUAAAUAAUUUAAGGGGACGAUAAGACCCUAUAAAUCUUUAUAUUAAUUUAUUGUUAAGCUGGAAAAUAGAAUUAAUUCGUGGGGUAACAAUUUUAAAUAUUUUGUUGGGGAGACAGAAGUAUAAAAGAAUAACUACUUUGGAUAAAGAGUUAAUGAUAUUUAAUGUAGAGACCCUUUCCUAAGGGUUAUAGAACAAGUUACUUUAGGGAUAACAGCGUAAUUUCUUUUGAGAGUCCAUAUCGAAAAAGAAGCUUGCGACCUCGAUGUUGAAUUAAAGACCCUAUAAUAACGCAGAAG
This 424-nucleotide ribosomal RNA is filed under the name Thenus unimaculatus. RNAcentral's name for it is "partial 16S ribosomal RNA". It matches the Rfam family "Archaeal large subunit ribosomal RNA", at positions 2011 to 2630 of the family's 2987-position model. Lineage: Eukaryota; Metazoa; Arthropoda; Malacostraca; Decapoda; Scyllaridae. The record is from RNAcentral.